Long non-coding RNA from Panicum virgatum (switchgrass), 1691 nucleotides. RefSeq lists it as uncharacterized. The transcript is spliced from 5 exons. The record is from RefSeq and is a predicted model, not a curated record. Lineage: Eukaryota; Viridiplantae; Streptophyta; Magnoliopsida; Poales; Poaceae.
ACCUCAUCCUCUCGUAGCCCAGCUGCUACAGCCAGCCGAACAGGCCCUAUAUAUGCAGGUGCAGGCGCCGCCAGACGAUUGAGCUUCCACGGCCAGCAACAGAGCUUUCAGUUCCCGACCUUUCUUCGGCGACCAGAUCGGCGACCGGCUGCUUCGUCUCAAAGGUUCGUGCUCACAUCUCACCCAACUUUAUGGAUUCAGAGCAUAAGCUUUGCAUGGAUGGAGCUCUUCUUGAGCAGCCCAUGAAUCAGUGUGCACCAAAGAAUCAUGAUAAUCGUUGGCCCUCGUUGCUUACUAUGACUGGCUUUGCGUUCUUGACCUUCAACUCGGUCAUGGCUUUGUAUAGAUCAAAUGGAGACAUGGGGGCCAUUUGCUUCGUGGUCUUCUCCUACGUGGAUCUCGUUGUGCUCUUCUACUUAUUGCGCCAAUUUGAGAUGACACCACUGUUAUCACCACGUCGUGAGCAUAUCAAGAUGGCAGUGUGGCUGACGACUACAAUGCUCACCGUUGCCUUCUCAUACAAGGUGGCGAAAAUCAUGCCAUUCCCGGUGCAGGUGUUGGUGUGGGCCAUGGCCAGUAUUACCGUGCUUGGUGGCUUCUAUGCCUUCUUCCUGCACCGGGAGGGAACCAAGGCAUAAUUGAGGUGAUGGCAGUGGGAUUGAGAAACUUUCGAUUAUCACGCUUGUGCUUCUCUCUUCGUUGGUGUUCCUCUGUUUUUUGUGUCUGCACCACUAAGGUUCUGUGACUACACCCUAGUGGUUACUAUGGUUAGUGUCCACGAAAUAAUCAUGAGCCUGCAUCCUGUUUUCUCUUAGUCUUCUUCGGUGGAGCCUGCUCUGUAAUAUUAUUAGCACCGGGUGCCCUUUGCCGUUUGAGCCUUGAAGAAGAAGAGUUCCACUGCAUCACAUCAUUAAGUCAUAGUAUUUGCUUGCAUAUGUAAGAGCAAAAGCCUAGUAUUCGGCUUCUGCAAUGUAAUAAAUAAUCGUCGAACAAUCUGAGAGCUUUCUAAAUGGAAUUUCCCUUUUGUUUGCUGUUGCUCCUUGGACGUCCUGACCGGCCAAUUUUGCAAGUUGCAAACUGAAGAAUGUCAGUUUGCAUGCAUCGACUGGAUGUAAUUUUAGGCCGCCCCCUGGUUUGCUCCAAAGAUCAAGUCGACCAUUGACUCUCUUGUUACCUGGUUUGAGUGCGAUAUCAGUGGGAGAUUACAUGCAGUGAAUUCGCCUUCAGAGUGACACGGGGGAAAAUUUACAGAACCGGCACAACCGGCCUGUGUCAUCGUCGUCCUUGAGCAGCAAGACGGUGUAAUCAUCUGGGGGAAGAUGACAGCUCUGCCCUGACCAAGGAUACACCUAACAUGGAGAUGGCUGGUACAUAAGGCGUCAGCAAUUAGAUGCAGUUGUUGCCAUUGCUGCCAUGGGUAGGAUACACCUAACAUGGAGAUGGCUGGUACAUAAGGCGCCAGCAAUUAGAUGCAGUGGUCGCCAUUGCUGCCAUGGGUAGGAUACACCUAACAUGGAGAUGGCUGGUACAUAAUUAAGGCGCCAGUAAUUACAUGCAGUGGUCGCCAUUGCUGCCAUGGGUUGGAAACUGGAAGAGAAUCAAAACAAGUGGAAUGCCAAAAAUGAGAGAGAACAGAGAGAGGCCCUGUACAGACGCCUGACUCAACCAUGGAGUCGGAAGGCCCAUGAACC